This 109-nucleotide small nucleolar RNA is filed under the name Arabidopsis thaliana (thale cress). Its description in RNAcentral is "ncRNA (AT4G04205)". The stretch from base 28 to 109 matches the Rfam family "Small nucleolar RNA Z155". Rfam says of the family: Z155 is a member of the C/D class of snoRNA which contain the C (UGAUGA) and D (CUGA) box motifs. Most of the members of the box C/D family function in directing site-specific 2'-O-methylation of substrate RNAs. The record is from RNAcentral. Lineage: Eukaryota; Viridiplantae; Streptophyta; Magnoliopsida; Brassicales; Brassicaceae.
UUAAGAUUGAUGACGAUGAGAAAGAGCCGAUGGAAUGAUGAUAACGAUUUUUCGGAUAUAUUAAUUUAUUCUGUCGACCAAAACUCAGACUACAAUUAUCUGACUAAUU